AGCUGAGCUAUCCCGACCAUUCCCAGCGUAGCAUCCCAUCCUCGUUUUAUUAGUUUAUUAGAUGACUGGGGUCUAUGUCAAUUAAAGAGACAAGGGGGAUUACAGAGUUUUCUCCAAGUCCUGUAUUUUCUUGAAUCUUCAAAAAAAAAGACGACUUUAUAAGUUUCAGUAUUAGGUAUUCUUUGCUAAAUUUGGAUUUGUAUUCUAUAUCACACGGGAUACGAGAAAGUCAUUAAGAUAAAGAAAUUUGUAACCGAGGGGGUAGGAGAAAAAUUUUGGAGUCAAUAGCUUUUUGGGGAUAGAGGGACUUGAACCCUCACGACUUUUUUAAAGUCGACGGAUUUUCCUCUUACUAUAAAUUGCAUUGUUGCCGGUAUUGACAUGUAGAAUGGGACUCUAUCUUUAUUCUUGUCCGAUUGAUCAGUUCGUUAAAAGGUAUAUCGGACUAUGGAGUGAAUGGUUUGAUAAAUAAAUAUUCGAUUUUUCUUCAAUGUGGAAUCAAUUCACACUAAUUCUUCCAUUUUUCAUAUAAAAAAUAGAGAUUCGUGCCAUCAGUAAUCAUGAUAUAGUAUUCAAUAGAUAUGUUUAUCUUUGAUCCUCUCUGAAGUUUCGGCGGAAAGAUUCCUCUACCAUCGCGGUCAACCCCAUUUGUUAGAACAGCUUCCAUUGAGUCUCUGCACCUAUCCUUUUUUUUUCGUUUUCGAAACCUUUCUUUUGAGAAAACGGGAUUUGGCUCAGGAUUGCCCAUUUUUAUUAAUUCCGGGGUUUCUCUGAAUUUGAAAGUUAUCACUUAGUAGGUUUCCAUAC
RNAcentral lists this unclassified non-coding RNA (807 nucleotides) under Pinguicula caerulea. RNAcentral's name for it is "partial contains tRNA-Leu (trnL) gene and trnL-trnF spacer region". Lineage: Eukaryota; Viridiplantae; Streptophyta; Magnoliopsida; Lamiales; Lentibulariaceae. The record is from RNAcentral.